UACAGAGGGUGCUAGCGUUGUUCGGAAUCAUUGGGCGUAAAGGGCGUGUAGGCGGUUUGUUAAGUCAUGUGUGAAAGCCCCCGGCUCAACCGGGGAACGACGCAUGAAACUGGCAAGCUAGAGUACCGAAGAGGGGGGUGGAAUUCCCAGUGUAGCGGUGAAAUGCGUAGAUAUUGGGAAGAACACCCGUGGCGAAGGCGGCUCUCUGGGACGGUACUGACGCUGAGACGCGAAAGCGUGGGGAGCGAACAGG
This 253-nucleotide ribosomal RNA is filed under the name uncultured bacterium. RNAcentral's name for it is "partial 16S ribosomal RNA". It matches the Rfam family "Bacterial small subunit ribosomal RNA", at positions 524 to 776 of the family's 1533-position model. The record is from RNAcentral.